AGCAGCCGCGGUAAUUCCAGCUCCAAUAGCGUAUAUUAAAGUUGUUGCAGUUAAAAAGCUCGUAGUUGAAUUUCGGAAUCAAUUUGUUGGUCGUGCCUCGGUACGUACUGGUAUUAUUGGUUUCUACCUUCUGAAGAACCUUGAUGUCAUUAAUUUGGUGUCUUGGGGAAUCAGGACUGUUACUUUGAAAAAAUUAGAGUGUUUAAAGCAAGCAUACGCUUGAAUACAUUAGCAUGGAAUAAUGAAAUAGGACGUUUGAUUCUAUUUUGUUGGUUUCUAGGAUCGACGUAAUGAUUAAUAGGGAUAGUUGGGGGCAUUAGUAUUCAAUUGUCAGAGGUGAAAUUCUUGGAUUUAUUGAAGACUAACUACUGCGAAAGCAUUUGCCAAGGAUGUUUUCAUUAAUCAAGAACGAAAGUUAGGGGAUCGAAGACGAUCAGAUACCGUCGUAGUCUUAACCAUAAACUAUGCCGACUAGGGAUCGGAUGAUGUUAAUUUUUUAAUGACUCA
Molecule: ribosomal RNA, 507 nt
Filed under: uncultured Glomeromycotina
Lineage: Eukaryota; Fungi; Glomeromycota
Description: SSU rRNA
Rfam family: Eukaryotic small subunit ribosomal RNA
Source: RNAcentral